Molecule: regulatory RNA element, 108 nt
Organism: Rhodococcus triatomae
Lineage: Bacteria; Bacillati; Actinomycetota; Actinomycetes; Mycobacteriales; Nocardiaceae
Rfam family: atpB RNA
Source: Rfam
GUCGGCUAGUAGAUCGUCACUGUCCGAUCGAACCACCACUGUCCGAUCGAACCGCAGGCCGACACCGACUGCGGACCGACUACGGGAGAGACCGCUGAGCGUCACAUU